Molecule: non-coding RNA, 1989 nt
Organism: Aegilops tauschii subsp. strangulata
Lineage: Eukaryota; Viridiplantae; Streptophyta; Magnoliopsida; Poales; Poaceae
Source: RefSeq, a predicted model, not a curated record
GAGCCUAGCACCUAGGGUAAAAAUAGUGCGCCCGCAUAACACCUAAUCUAUCAUCUCCAUGCUCUCGCGGCGGCGAAAGCCGGGCGAUGAAGUCGCCGGCGAGAUGGAUUAAGCCUCUCCUUGGGCUAAUCAUGUGCCCUCAACUUCAAGCCAUAUAUAGCUCCUCCCCCCUGAUGCCUCCUCUCUGUUGUUGACGUCUUCUGCACUAUGAUGGGUGGCAGGGUACAAGGCGUACAGAUCUCAAGGGAAGAUGAAUGCCUCACUUCACCGUGGGCUCUGGUGGUUGAAGCGCAAGUUGAUCCGACAAUAUCUGACUCACGUAUGUCGUGCUGAUUGAUUUUUUGAAGGUAAGCACCCGUCCAAUUUUUGGAUCGCGGAUGUAUGAUAAAUCAAUCCAUAUAUUCCAAAGAAAGGGAAGGAAGAGGAUAAAGUGGUUACAAAGUACAUCCACGUGAACCCAAUCUGAAGCCAAGGCGUAAACCUUGCCCUGUUCCAUAGUAGCCGGACACAGGCUCAAGCCUCAGGAGGAUCACCGGGCCUCCAUACUGUUUGCAGAUCAACAUGCAUGCAACAUAUGUAAGAGAGAGGUGGGCAGUCCAAAUGUUGAUAAUUUCAAGUAGGUAUUAGGCCAUCAACAGUUGUAAGAAUCUCCAUCGAAUAUAUUCAGCUGUAGACUAAGAAUCUAUAUUUUGUUGAUCAGAUAAGUUACAUCAGAUGCAUAAUGUAUUAGGCCCCCGACAGCCGUCAGGAUCUCCAAAACAGCGAGGUGAGGUCUCAGGGAUUGGGGCAAGAACACAUAAGCUGGCCAAGCAAAGGAAGCUCAGUAACAUAUUCAUACGGUCAUUGGACUGCUACCUUAUUAUUUCUGGUAUAAGCACUAAUCUAUGUGUAAGCUAUGUACUCUUUUUGCUACUUUGCCGUGCACCUACAAGCUGAAUGUGCUCUAUUCCUCGAUCCUAUAUCUGUGGUUAGCUAAAUAUCAUCAUUGGUUUUAGUUCUGUUCUCCUUACAAUUAGCAUUUGGAAUGGUGCAUAUAAUAUUAUUCAGAACAAUGUCAAUUAAUGUUAGAAACUUAUUUGUCACUAGCUAGCGGUUUUAGUUCUGCCUUCGCCAUUACAAAUAAUCGAUGAAAGGGAUUUUCUUUCAUUUUUUAUGUAUGUGCAAUAUCGCUAAUUAAGCUAACUAUGCAUACAUAGUAAUCUAUUAAUUAUUUGUCUCUUGCUGGACCGAUAUGUUAACUCUUCUGGACAAUGGUGCAAGUACAUUAUGUAGAAAAAAUAGGUACAUUGCAUAACAUAUGUAUAUCUAAAUAUCAAAGAAAACCUAACAUAUCUCAGGCACCAUGUGGUGUCUCAUUGGUUACUUUUGUUAAUUCUUUUAUUAGCUCUGAAGCUGGAUGAUGGAUUACCCAGCAGAUACUUUUUUGCCAUGGAUCAGAUGGUAUGUACCCACAAUCCGGAAGCAUGUUGAUUACUUCCUAACAUUGGCUGGAUGCACACGUACUGACGUACAAGAGGACUUGAUGGAAUCUUACCGGAUGGAAAAACGCCCACAAGCAACACAUGCACGUGCGCGCUUAUCCGCGGUUCAGUUGACAUUCUAGGGUACAAAAUAAAGGCCAUAGAGCACACUCACUUGAUCAGUGUAUUCAGCAAGAUACUCCUAGAGUCCCAAUACGCCAGCCUACAGGAGGAAAUGCCAACAAUUGGUACCACAAGACAAUGGGGUACGAUAACGAAGCAAGAAUCGGCUGUGAAGCAAGCAACAACAUGGUGGAGAAACGAGCUCCUGGAUUUUCUGGCCAAGCACAUCAACUGACUCGUCAUCAUACUUCGUCAACCUAACGCAAACCCUCAAUUUCUUAACGUUUGGCAUGUAUUUUUCUAGCAUUAGAUCGAAACCGUGGUCUUCGAGAACUAUUGUAAAAGAAACUUUUGUUCUGUUACGAUACUACUUAAUGAAAAGUUAGGAGAAUGAUGUUUUGCUAAA